GCUAUGUCGCAGGUUUUAUCGUUCUCGGCACUCUUUAUUGUUGUCGUAUUGAUGUGAGCUCUGAAAGCUUGAUGCUACACUUUGCUUACCACGAGCAUGACAUUAGAAUAAUAGAUAAAAAAAAUUUGCUUGUGUUGUUUAUACGGUGGAAAUAAAAUCAUACCGCCUUCAUGUUGUUAUUUAUCCGAUAAUAUUUGUUCAUAUCCGGUCCACUCCACUCCAUGUCCGCUCCGAAUCCGUAGCCGAAAUAAUCCGCAUCCAAUCGUAUCCAUUCCGAAUCCGACAAAAAAAAUAUGAUAAAAGGUAUGGAAAAAAAAUCAUUUUAUCCGAUUCAUAGAAAGAACAGAACGACGGAGCUGCUAGCUGCGGCCUCCAACGACCUCGCGAGUUUUGAGCCAGGAAUACAUGCAUACGCGUGGGGCGAGUUCGUCUCUGAGUUUGUUGGUCAUGGAGAAAACUCGUACCGGCCUCCUCUCGGAAAGAGCCAGAGUAAGAAACAGAAAGGAACUCUCGCAGGUCUCGGAAAGAGCCAGAGUAUGAUCCAAAUCUUCUCGAUAUAACAACUUA
This 567-nucleotide long non-coding RNA is filed under the name Brachypodium distachyon (stiff brome). RNAcentral describes it as "long non-coding RNA (BDIS_LNC001826)". The record is from RNAcentral. Lineage: Eukaryota; Viridiplantae; Streptophyta; Magnoliopsida; Poales; Poaceae.